This 253-nucleotide ribosomal RNA is filed under the name uncultured bacterium. RNAcentral describes it as "partial 16S ribosomal RNA". It matches the Rfam family "Bacterial small subunit ribosomal RNA", at positions 524 to 776 of the family's 1533-position model. The record is from RNAcentral.
UACGAAGGGGGCUAGCGUUGCUCGGAAUCACUGGGCGUAAAGGGUGCGUAGGCGGGUCUUUAAGUCAGGGGUGAAAUCCUGGAGCUCAACUCCAGAACUGCCUUUGAUACUGGAGAGCUCGAGGGAGGUAGGGGUCUGUGGAACUUCCGGUGGAGCGGUGAAAUGCGUUGAUAUCGGAAGGAACGCCGGUGGCGAAAGCGACGGACUGGAUCUCUUCUGACGCUGAGGCGCGAAAGCCAGGGGAGCAAACGGG